Molecule: long non-coding RNA, 502 nt
Organism: Erpetoichthys calabaricus (reedfish)
Lineage: Eukaryota; Metazoa; Chordata; Cladistia; Polypteriformes; Polypteridae
Exons: 3
Source: RefSeq, a predicted model, not a curated record
ACGCACGCUUCCUGCCGGCGACGGAACACUGAGAAGCGCAGCUUUAGGGAUGGCCAGCCUCCUGCUUAGCCCACGGCGUGGACAAAUUACAGGAGGAAAGGACACCUAAGCAUCUGAGACAGCAGCAAAUGGAGGUGGCAAACGUAACAGUGUCACCUGCUUUACUCAAAUGUUAAAGUCCUCAAAUGAACAUCUGGACAGGUCUGACCAUCUCACUCCCACCUAUAGCCCUCUUAUUGAUUGCAGCAGUUCUCCAGUAUCCAAGCUAGACGUUCUUAGUGCUCUAAAAAUGAAGUCUGACACCCUGACAUUUAACUGCCCUGCAUUGUGUUCCUGAUCUGGAUUUGGUUUGUUCACACUCUUCCAGAUUUUGUAAGCCACUUUAGUGGUAGAUCCUGAAAGGGAGCUCAUUAAAUGUGUCUAACUUAAAGGAAAAUGCCAUUUUGUUUGAAUGUUACUUACCCUCCAUGUGGUUUAUAGUGAUGACUAAUAAAAAUGUAUU